CCAUCAAAAUUCACCCUAAAGAGACUGAUGAAGGACCUGGGGAUCAGCGGACAAGCCCUACGCCAGGCCACCAAAGAAACAUCACGGGUGGCAGAGCGGAGUAGCCAAUGGUUCUGGCUGAAGAGGAAAGACCCCAUUUGGUCUCCUAAAUAACCGACUAGACAGAUACAGAGAGGGGUGGUUC
Molecule: long non-coding RNA, 184 nt
Organism: Amblyraja radiata (thorny skate)
Lineage: Eukaryota; Metazoa; Chordata; Chondrichthyes; Rajiformes; Rajidae
Exons: 4
Source: RefSeq, a predicted model, not a curated record